Molecule: long non-coding RNA, 2268 nt
Organism: Chenopodium quinoa (quinoa)
Lineage: Eukaryota; Viridiplantae; Streptophyta; Magnoliopsida; Caryophyllales; Amaranthaceae
Exons: 2
Source: RefSeq, a predicted model, not a curated record
ACAGUGGAGGGGAGAAGGGUGGCUAGGGCUAUAGAGGAGGGUGGUCAACGUCAUUAAAGUGGUGUGUUUAGGGUGGUCAACGUCGUAAGAGGAGGCGUUUAUGGUGGUCAAUGCCAUGAAAGGGUGGUUUUGUGGGUGGGGCUGGGGAGAGAGGUGGUUUCGUGGGGGGGUGGUGGGAAGAGAAAUGGUUUCGUGGGUAGAUUGGGGUAGUCAACGCCGGAAAAUGGGGUCAAACCUCAUUUUUCGACAUAAAGGUAUUGAUUUGCAAAAAAAAAAAAAAAAAAAAAUUGAUUAAGGCGUGUCAUUGCAAAAAAAAAAAAAACUAUAAGAUGGUUUAUUACAAAAAUUUGCUUAUAAUUAAAAGGUGAUUUUUUAAAAAUUUCCUAUAAAUAACACUUUGUAAGAAAUUACCUUCUCAAAGAUCCUAUCAACUACAUACUUUAAACAAAAAUAAUUUUGCGAAAACAAUCUUACCAUACAUUCUAGCUUAGCAUUGACCCACCCGUUCUAGUCAUGUGACCUUUAUAAAUUCGAUUUCCACCCUUUCUUCUAGUAAUUCUCCAUUAAUUUCCAAUGCAAGUUUCAAUUAAAGUAUAAGUUCAAUUUUUAUCUUUGGAUAACUUUUUUCUUAAUUCUCUCUCUAAAAAGAGAGCUUCUCUCUCUAGAGUACUAGAGCCUCAUCCCCAAAACCCCAACUUUUUCCACCGCCUUCCACCGUCUUCCACUGUUUUUCAACUCUUCCAUGACUUUACAAACCUCAAAUUUUAAUUACAAAAGCUAGGAUCAGAUUAAAGUUCACAAAAAACAACUUUAGUUCUUCAAUUCCAUGUUCUUUUCGGUGAUCCUCCUUCAAAAUCAUAACCCCUUUUUCAUUUUCCCCUGCUUCGUUUAAGAUGGCAGUUAAUAAAUUCGCUCUUUCGAGCCGGCGACGCUCAUCAACUAGCUAUAAUCCUUGUUUCCGCAAUCAUCUUGUACUGGGCAAGUUCAUAAACUACAGAAAUUUCUCCGAGACUCGAAUCCAAAAGUGGGUUUCCAGCCAGUGGAUUACCUUUGGGGAAAUUAAAGUCCAGAAAUUCAAUAGUAUUUUCUUGUUUCUUUGUGAGGACGUUCGUGAUUGAGAAGCUAUGCUACAACAAGGUUCCGCGGGGUACCAAGCGGCUCUCUUGGUCUUUACUCCGUGGACUCAGGUGUGUACUCAGUUGCAAAUACCAGGAGAAUUAAGUGUCUUGUAAAAAUACCAUGAGGAACAAGAAGGCCAGAAGCAGAGCUAUCCAUAAAGAAGAGUUCCUUUGCAGGAACUGGUGCUUCAGAAAUGAAGACUUGAGAAGAGAAGGUUCCCCUCAGGGAACAUAAGCUUCAGAGAAGAAGCCUCAUCAGAGAAGAGAAGUUCCUUCCAAGGAACAGGAAGGAACAGGAUGCCUCGGAGUAGAAGCUUCAUCAAAGACAUGAAGACUAAAAUAUAUUUUAUAUUCUAGGAUUUAUGUAAGUAUAAGAUAUUAAUUUGCACUCGAAAAAUCUGUGUGGAAUUGGUCUAAAAGAUAAAAUAUGUGCAUGCUAGUUUUUAAGAAAACUGUUGCUUUCUAAAACGUUUAUCCUUCUGAAAGGGAUUUUAUUUUAUUCUGAUUUUCGAAAAUAUCUUAUGCAAAAGAAUUCUAUUUAUUUUUCUUAUUUUCGAAAAUAUCUUUUGAAAAAAAAUAAAAUCACCAUGUUUUCCAAAACUUGCGGCCUACUCUCCCAUGUUCUUCUUCAGUCAUGGUGUUGCACAUUGAGGAGUUCAUGGUUCCUUAAUUUAAGGAACAUGAUCUUCUUAGUGGGUAUGAGUAGUGGCGUAAUGGUGUUGCUGCACAAAGAUGAUUUUCCAAGACAUUUUGCAACCUAUAAAUAGCUAUUGAUUUCAGAUCGAAAAUCUCACCCUUGCUCACAUAAGUUUUCAAGCUUUAAUCGAGUUAAGAGUCAAAUUCCACACAAGUUAAUUAGAGUGUUCUUAAUGUUCUUAUACUAGAGUUUGUUUAUCUUUCGAGUUGUAAUUUGGGGAAUGGGGAAGUUCGAGUGAACUCUUGUGUAUGAGAAAGAGAAGUGAAAGAGAAGAGAAAGAGAAGAGGAAGAGAAGAGAGAACAGAGAAGUGAGAAGAGAGAAAGAGAAGAGAAGAGUAACAAGUUGGGUGACUUGUUCCUCGGGGUUUCAAGUUCGUAGAGGAAUUUGAGUUUGAGUCUUUAGUUUGUAAUAGGACCAUUUGCCCUAUUAUAGUGAAGAUUCUUUUCCCAAAA